This is a long non-coding RNA of Ictalurus punctatus (channel catfish), 1041 nucleotides long. RefSeq lists it as uncharacterized. The record is from RefSeq and is a predicted model, not a curated record. The transcript is spliced from 2 exons. NCBI's taxonomy places the organism in Eukaryota, Metazoa, Chordata, Actinopteri, Siluriformes, Ictaluridae.
CGGGAGCCGAGUGAAAAAUCACGUCGCUGAUGUGUGUGCGUUCAGGAAAAUGGCCUCACUGUUACGCUGGACCUGGAGAUGUGGAGUGUGAUUUCUGCACUGGGAGAAAACACAAAGCCAUCAAGUCCUGUCUGAUGUGUGUGGCCUCCUUUUGUGAAACUCAUUUAAAACCUCAUCUUAAAAUUCCUGCUUUGAAAAAGCACAAGUUAGUUGAAGCUUAAGUCUAACCUUCACACAAUGCAGCUACACAGAAACAGCCAUUUUAAUGUGUUAAUUAAAACAGAGGAGUAACUUUAUAAUGAUUAAAAAAGGAAAUGUUCAAAAUGAACUCUCAGAUAAGAAACUAGUAGAACUGAAAAAGAAUAUACUGAUACUAUGAGAUUUUGUGAUCCAGAAUGAAGUGUGUAUUGUUUAUGUAUAAUUCCUGCAUGUUUCCUGGAUUCUCUGCUGGGAUUUCAUCUGCUCCUCCGUUAACUCUCUCUGAGGACACAUCGAUCACAUUCAGCUCUUUAUAUAGGAUUUGUUUGGGGUUCCUCACCAGGAUGAAACUAUCAGGAUACUAUGAAGUACUAUCGUUCUGUCCACUAGAGGGCACCCUAAAUUUUCAUGCAGAAGUUCUUCUUUGGUUGUCUGCAUAAUUUCCUGUCUUUAUUAUUCUCAUGUGUUUGUUAUUUUCCUGAUUAGUUUCCUUAUUUAAGUUUUUUCUUUCUUCACUUGCUGGAGAAUUGUGUGUUUAAGUUAGUCAUGACUGCACGUCACAUGAACACAUGGUCUUUGCUAGGCCUAGGGUUAGGGGUGUGAUAGGGUUCACUGAUCUCACACACCCACUCGUUUGUGUAAUGCAUCACAUUCACUAGCAAAACUACUUAAGUUCCAGUUUUUCAGCGUCUCACUGAAGCUUUCGUUCUUGUAGUAUCUGCUGUGUUUUGUUCUUGUCCUAUAGUCUGUAUGUGUCUUGCUUCGUAUCCAUAGUUCCUGUUGACGGUUCUUGUUGUCAUGGUUUUGUUUGUUUUUUGUUUUCCACAAUAAAUGACCCACUCU